GACGAACGCUGGCGGCGUGCUUAACACAUGCAAGUCGAACGGAAAGGCCCUGCUUUUGUGGGGUGCUCGAGUGGCGAACGGGUGAGUAACACGUGAGUAACCUGCCCUUGACCUUGGGAUAACUUCAGGAAACUGGGGCUAAUACCGGAUAGGAGCUCCUGCUGCAUGGUGGGGGUUGGAGAGUUUCGGCGGUUGGGGAUGGACUCGCGGCUUAUCAGCUUGUUGGUGGGGUAGUGGCUUACCAAGGCUUUGACGGGUAGCCGGCCUGAGAGGGUGACCGGCCACAUUGGGACUGAGAUACGGCCCAGACUCCUACGGGAGGCAGCAGUGGGGAAUAUUGCACAAUGGGCGGAAGCCUGAUGCAGCAACGCCGCGUGCGGGAUGACGGCCUUCGGGUUGUAAACCGCUUUCGCCUGUGACGAAGCGUGAGUGACGGUAAUGGGUAAAGAAGCACCGGCUAACUACGUG
RNAcentral lists this ribosomal RNA (468 nucleotides) under uncultured bacterium. RNAcentral's name for it is "partial 16S ribosomal RNA". It matches the Rfam family "Bacterial small subunit ribosomal RNA", at positions 28 to 507 of the family's 1533-position model. The record is from RNAcentral.